Molecule: ribosomal RNA, 437 nt
Filed under: uncultured Campylobacter sp.
Lineage: Bacteria; Pseudomonadati; Campylobacterota; Epsilonproteobacteria; Campylobacterales; Campylobacteraceae
Description: bacterial SSU rRNA
Rfam family: Bacterial small subunit ribosomal RNA
Source: RNAcentral
AACGCGAAGAACCUUACCUGGGCUUGAUAUCCUAAGGACCUCUUAGAGAUAAGAGGGUGCUAGCUUGCUAGAACUUAGAGACAGGUGCUGCACGGCUGUCGUCAGCUCGUGUCGUGAGAUGUUCGGUUAAAUCCGGCAACGAGCGCAACCCACGUAUUUAGUUGCUAACAGUUUGGCUGAGCACUCUAAAUAUACUGCCUUCGUAAGGAGGAGGAAGGUGUGGACGACGUCAAGUCAUCAUGGCCCUUAUGCCCAGGGCGACACACGUGCUACAAUGGCAUAUACAAUGAGACGCAAUACCGCGAGGUGGAGCAAAUCUAUAAAAUAUGUCCCAGUUCGGAUUGUUCUCUGCAACUCGAGAGCAUGAAGCCGGAAUCGCUAGUAAUCGUAGAUCAGCCAUGCUACGGCGAAUACGUUCCCGGGUCUUGUACACACGC